Molecule: ribosomal RNA, 253 nt
Filed under: uncultured bacterium
Lineage: Bacteria
Description: partial 16S ribosomal RNA
Rfam family: Bacterial small subunit ribosomal RNA
Source: RNAcentral
UACGGGGGGAGCAAACGUUGUUCGGAAUUACUGGGCGUAAAGGGCGCGUAGGCGGUCCUGUAAGUGGUGUGUGAAAUCCGAUGGCUCAACCAUCGAGCUGCGCUCCAAACUGCAGGACUUGAGUACAGCAGAGGAAAGUGGAAUUCCCGGUGUAGCGGUGAAAUGCGCAGAUAUCAGGAGGAACACCGGUGGCGAAGGCGGGUCUCUGGGCCGAAAUUGACGCUGAGGAGCGAAAGCGUGGGGAGCAAACAGG